CUUGAAGUUAGAGUACAAAGAGACAGCUUUACACAGAAGGCAUCUGCCCCGCCUGCUGGGAACACACGCUCCAUAUCCACAUCCCGGAGCCUCGGACUGAGAAUCAACUUAUUAUCUUUUAUCAAAGGUUCAUAGAUAAACAAGGAAAAGAUGUGUGGUGGAGGAGAAGCUGUGUUCACCUUCCUGAUGAGCCCAUGUGGAGUGCCAGAGGUUCAAUGCAGAUGUCAGCAGUCUCUGACGUUUGAAAAGAUGACCAG
RNAcentral lists this long non-coding RNA (257 nucleotides) under Mus spicilegus (steppe mouse). RNAcentral describes it as "lncRNA (ENSMSIG00000010570.1)". The record is from RNAcentral. Lineage: Eukaryota; Metazoa; Chordata; Mammalia; Rodentia; Muridae.